RNAcentral lists this transfer RNA (69 nucleotides) under Paramesotriton caudopunctatus (Guizhou warty newt). Its description in RNAcentral is "tRNA-Ala". Lineage: Eukaryota; Metazoa; Chordata; Amphibia; Caudata; Salamandridae. The record is from RNAcentral.
AAGGCCUUAGCUUAAUUAAAGUGUCUGGGUUGCAUUCAGAAGAUGUGGAGUAGUGUUCUGCAGGUUUUA